Molecule: ribosomal RNA, 467 nt
Filed under: uncultured bacterium
Lineage: Bacteria
Description: partial 16S ribosomal RNA
Rfam family: Bacterial small subunit ribosomal RNA
Source: RNAcentral
GACGAACGCUGGCGGCGUGCUUAACACAUGCAAGUCGAACGGAAAGGCCUCUUUCGGGGGGUACUCGAGUGGCGAACGGGUGAGUAACACGUGAGUAACCUGCCCUUGACUUUGGGAUAACUUCAGGAAACUGGGGCUAAUACCGGAUAGGAGCUCCUGCUGCAUGGUGGGGGUUGGAAAGUUUCGGCGGUUGGGGAUGGACUCGCGGCUUAUCAGCUUGUUGGUGGGGGAGUGGCUUACCAAGGCUUUGACGGGUAGCCGGCCUGGGAGGGUGACCGGCCACAUUGGGACUGAGAUACGGCCCAGACUCCUACGGGAGGCAGCAGUGGGGAAUAUUGCACAAUGGGUGGAAGCCUGAUGCAGCAACGCCGUGUGCGGGAUGACGGCCUUCGGGUUGUAAACCGCUUUCGCUCAUGACGAAGCUUUGUGUGACGGUAGUGGGUAAAGAAGCACCGGCUAACUACGUG